GACGAACGCUGGCGGCGUGCCUAAUACAUGCAAGUAGAACGCUGAAGGAGGAGCUUGCUCUUCUGGAUGAGUUGCGAACGGGUGAGUAACGCGUAGGUAACCUGCCUGGUAGCGGGGGAUAACUAUUGGAAACGAUAGCUAAUACCGCAUAAUAGUAGAUGUUGCAUGACAUUUGCUUAAAAGGUGCAAUUGCAUCACUACCAGAUGGACCUGCGUUGUAUUAGCUAGUUGGUGAGGUAACGGCUCACCAAGGCGACGAUACAUAGCCGACCUGAGAGGGUGAUCGGCCACACUGGGACUGAGACACGGCCCAGACUCCUACGGGAGGCAGCAGUAGGGAAUCUUCGGCAAUGGACGGAAGUCUGACCGAGCAACGCCGCGUGAGUGAAGAAGGUUUUCGGAUCGUAAAGCUCUGUUGUAAGAGAAGAACGAGUGUGAGAGGGAAAGUUCAC
This 452-nucleotide ribosomal RNA is filed under the name Streptococcus sp. oral taxon 064. RNAcentral's name for it is "bacterial SSU rRNA". It matches the Rfam family "Bacterial small subunit ribosomal RNA", at positions 28 to 467 of the family's 1533-position model. The record is from RNAcentral. Lineage: Bacteria; Bacillati; Bacillota; Bacilli; Lactobacillales; Streptococcaceae.